GGGGUCCUGGGGUGCUGGGAUUUGGGAUUUGAGGAGUCCCGGGUUUUGGGGUCCCAGUUCUGGGGUUUGGGGGGUCCCG
Non-coding RNA from Turdus rufiventris (rufous-bellied thrush), 79 nucleotides. Lineage: Eukaryota; Metazoa; Chordata; Aves; Passeriformes; Turdidae. The record is from the annotation of a GenBank genome assembly.